AUUGAACGCUGGCGGCAGGCCUAACACAUGCAAGUCGAGCGGAUGAAGGGAGCUUGCUCCUGGAUUCAGCGGCGGACGGGUGAGUAAUGCCUAGGAAUCUGCCUGGUAGUGGGGGAUAACGUCCGGAAACGGGCGCUAAUACCGCAUACGUCCUGAGGGAGAAAGUGGGGGAUCUUCGGACCUCACGCUAUCAGAUGAGCCUAGGUCGGAUUAGCUAGUUGGUGGGGUAAAGGCCUACCAAGGCGACGAUCCGUAACUGGUCUGAGAGGAUGAUCAGUCACAUUGGAACUGAGGCACGGUCCAGACUCCUGCGGGAGGCAGCAGUGGGGAAUAUUAGGCAAUGGGCGAGAGCCUGAUCCAGCCAUGCGGCGUGUGUGAAGAAGGUCUUCGGAUUGUAAAGCACUUUAAGUUGGGGGGAAGGGCAGUAAGUUAAUACCUUGCUGUUUUGACGUUACCAACAGAAUAAGCACCGGCUAACUUCGUG
Molecule: ribosomal RNA, 484 nt
Filed under: uncultured bacterium
Lineage: Bacteria
Description: partial 16S ribosomal RNA
Rfam family: Bacterial small subunit ribosomal RNA
Source: RNAcentral